RNAcentral lists this ribosomal RNA (254 nucleotides) under uncultured bacterium. RNAcentral describes it as "partial 16S ribosomal RNA". It matches the Rfam family "Bacterial small subunit ribosomal RNA", at positions 524 to 776 of the family's 1533-position model. The record is from RNAcentral.
UACGUGAGGGGGCAAGCGUUGUCCGGAUUUAUUGGGCGUAAAGAGCGUGUAGGCGGCCAGACAGGUCCGUUGUGAAAACUAGAGGCUUAACCUCUAGACGUCGAUGGAAACCGUUUGGCUAGAGUCCGGAAGAGGAGAAUGGAAUUCCUGGUGUAGCGGUGAAAUGCGCAGAUAUCAGGAAGAACACCCGUGGCUAAGGCGGUUCUCUAGUACGGUACUGACGCUGAGACGCGAAAGCGUGGGGAGCGAACAGG